Molecule: long non-coding RNA, 748 nt
Organism: Rosa rugosa (rugosa rose)
Lineage: Eukaryota; Viridiplantae; Streptophyta; Magnoliopsida; Rosales; Rosaceae
Exons: 2
Source: RefSeq, a predicted model, not a curated record
AUAUUGUUUAUGAAUAAAUAGUAUGUCACUGCUCAUCUUGGUCAGAAAUGGAGCGACGGUUUUGCCCUCACUACUUGCCUCAACUACGAUUUUGCCAUUGUUUUACGAUAAGACGCUGGAGGCUUCGAGAGACAGUGAUAGAGAGAGAGAGAGAGAGAGAGAGAGAGAGACGGUGAUCGAGAUAGAAACAAUCGAGGGUUGGGUUUGUUUUGGAAGAUGUUCCGUUGCACCAAGACUUGGAACCCACCGCUUCCUCUUCUCUUAGUUUGAGAAGAGAAGAGGACUUGGCUACAUUGGUAACCAAACCUCAAUUUGGAGACACUGCUUACCAAGAAAGGAGACGUGAUGAUUUAGGUAAGACAAAUUCUCAUGAAACUUGCAGUUUAUAAUGCAGAAGCAGGGGAGGAUUCUGAUAUUAUACUUUCUGUUUUGAUUCUGUUAAUAAAACGUGUGGGAUGGCUUUUGAUUGGUGUAUUGAUCACAACUGUGUUCAGAAUGUUGAUGAGGAAAUACACACGUAACUGUUGAUGGCGAAGCUUCUAUCCCAAAAUUCCAUUUUUGCAAUAUGUAAAUAUACAAAUCUACUUAAAUACCAGCUUUUGUAAUAUGUAAAGUUCUGACGUUCACCAAUAACCGUUUCUUAGAUUAUGGUUCUGAUUGUUAUACAUACAAGAAAUUGAGGAAGAAAAAAAAAUUGCAAUCGCGCAGGGCGUAUAUCCAGUGGAAUCUAUAUCUAAGUAUUGUGACA